Molecule: long non-coding RNA, 813 nt
Filed under: Ananas comosus (pineapple)
Lineage: Eukaryota; Viridiplantae; Streptophyta; Magnoliopsida; Poales; Bromeliaceae
Description: long non-coding RNA (ACOM_LNC002745)
Source: RNAcentral
UUAGUAAUAAUAUUGAAUGAGUCAGUCAAUAGCUUAUCUUUUAGAAACAUGAUUAGUAUAAUUCAUAUAAUUCUUGUAACUAUAAAUUUAUAAAAAUAAAUAAUUAAUUUAAAAUUUAAAAUUAAAAUAAUAUUGACUGAUUCAAAUUAAAUAAAUUAAAUUAGUAAAAUUAGCCGGUCCAUAGUUCAUACUAAUUUUUUCAAAAAAUACGCGUUACCCAAUAACUUCCCCAGCGUCCAAGUAGGGUGCACCAUGUCACGACAUAAGGAUUUUCUCCGCGAUUUCGCUUUGCAAUCACCCAAACUCCAAAGCGGACAUCUGACGGAGGUUUUGGCUUGGAACCUUCUGGAAGCUUCUAUGUGGAUCUCGAGGCUGAUUGGCGCGGAUGCCGAGGAGUCAAGAGUCCCUUAGAGUUUCUAGGUAGGCAAUAAAUGUAUGACUCUUCGAGUCUCGAUGCUAUUUAUUAUGACUCUUGGGUGACCGUAGCGUACUUAUUGGCCUCCCCUUUUCGCUAGUAGUAUUGUGCCAUUUGGCACCUUUUCAUUUGCUUUAUGGGCGGCGAGUGGCCUAUAAAUAAUGUUGCCUCCACCCCUCUCAUUUCAGAAUCCACCAUUGUAUUCUCAAGUUGAAGUAAUAGAAGAGCUUUCUUCUUAUCUCUCUCUUGUACUUAGUCUAGGGCGAGUGAGGUCCUAACUUAGCAAGUAGAGAGGCAGGCUUGCUCACUUCGCGAAGGAAGGCGAGCGCCGCACGGGCUUUUGCGAGCAAAUUCGUUAAGUCCGUGACAACCAGGUGCCCUCCGUACGGACGACUCGA